AAGGAUUUCAGUAACUCAGUGCUGGGUUAGGGGUUGUUAUAAGAAGUGAUGGGUGGGGUUCUGUGGCUGCUUUGUGCAGGAGGGCAGACUGAUGACCAUAAUGGUACACUUCUUGACCUUAAAGGUC
Chelonoidis abingdonii (Abingdon island giant tortoise) is the source of this 127-nucleotide non-coding RNA. The record is from RefSeq and is a predicted model, not a curated record. NCBI's taxonomy places the organism in Eukaryota, Metazoa, Chordata, Testudines, Testudinidae.